Molecule: ribosomal RNA, 19 nt
Filed under: Capsicum annuum
Lineage: Eukaryota; Viridiplantae; Streptophyta; Magnoliopsida; Solanales; Solanaceae
Description: partial 28S ribosomal RNA
Source: RNAcentral
GCGACCCCAGGUUCAGGCG